Asparagus officinalis (garden asparagus) is the source of this 1046-nucleotide long non-coding RNA. RefSeq lists it as uncharacterized. The record is from RefSeq and is a predicted model, not a curated record. NCBI's taxonomy places the organism in Eukaryota, Viridiplantae, Streptophyta, Magnoliopsida, Asparagales, Asparagaceae. The transcript has 5 exons.
AAGGAAAAGAAAGUGUAAAAGAAAGUAAUUUUUCUUUGUUUGGUUUGGAAGAAAACGAGAAAGAAAAUGAAUCUUAAAAUCAUUGUAGAAAAAGACCCAUAUAGCCGGUUCUUUUCCCCUUUCCUCACUUGAUCGGAGUGAAAAUGAGAGAGAGGGAGAGAAAAUCCCGACGAUGCCUCCUUCAAAAUUCCCGACUCCAUCGCGACUCCAUCAUCUCUCUCUCUCUCUCUCUCUCGAUCUCAAAUCUCCUUGAGCUCUCUCUCGUCGUUCUCUCGGAUCUCUCUCCCUCGACCUCUCUCGGAUCUCCUUCAUCCCCGCUGCCGGCAUCCCACUGCGCCACCACCGUGGCCGCCGCCUCGUAAAACUCAUCCAGGUAACCCUAAUCUCUCUCUACCUUUCAUCACUUUUUACCUUUUUUAGAAAAAUCAGAGGUCUAUUUUGAUCUAAGAGAGGAAGCCCAGCCAUUGUCGAGUUCACCAACACUUGAAAGGUUUGGAACGGUUAGAAGCAGAUCGAACUUUACUUGAGAAGAAAGAUGCAGAUAGUUCUUUAUGGGAUGAUCCUUCAAAAGCUCAAGAAACACUUCUCACCUUGACUGAUGUCAAAGAUAAAAUUAAAUUGCUCUCUGAGUUCAAGUCCCAGGAGCUGUUGUUACUAUAACUGCUGGUGCUGGGGGUACUGACGCAUGGUUCCUUGUAAGGGUGAAAAUCCGGUGAAGAAGUGAAUAACAUGCUUAAUGGAGCAUUUCCCUUUUUCUUUUUUUUUUGAGCAAAGAAUGCUUCAAAAGUUCUUGUUGGUUGGAUAUGAUGGAUCAGGAACCAGUACCAUAUUUAAACAGGGGAUGAAGGAUGCGAGAUUGAUGUUUUGAUGGGCUCACUAAAGUCAAAAACCAAGGACUUCGGCAUAUUUUUCUCUCUUUGGUUAAGAUUCUCUAUAUGAAAUUGAUUGUAAUAGACUUUGUUGGUUAAGAUCUUCUAUAUGAAAUUGAUUGUAAUAGACUUUGUUAGUUAAGAUUUUCUAUAUGAAAUUGAUUAUACUUUAUAUUA